AGUCGAACGGUAACAGGAAGCAGCUUGCUUUUUUGCUGACGAGUGGCGGACGGGUGAGUAAUGUCUGGGAAACUGCCUGAUGGAGGGGGAUAACUACUGGAAACGGUAGCUAAUACCGCAUAACGUCGCAAGACCAAAGAGGGGGACCUUCGGGCCUCUUGCCAUCGGAUGUGCCCAGAUGGGAUUAGCUUGUUGGUGGGGUAACGGCUCACCUAGGCGACGAUCCCUAGCUGGUCUGAGAGGAUGACCAGCCACACUGGAACUGAGACACGGUCCAGACUCCUACGGGAGGCAGCAGUGGGGAAUAUUGCACAAUGGGCGCAAGCCUGAUGCAGCCAUGCCGCGUGUAUGAAGAAGGCCUUCGGGUUGUAAAGUACUUUCAGCGGGGAGGAAGGGAGUAAAGUUAAUACCUUUGCUCAUUGACGUUACCCGCAUAAUAUGCACCGGCUAACUCCGUGCCAGCAGCCGCGGUAAUACGGAGGGUGCAAGCGUUAAUCGGAAUUACUGGGCGUAAAGCGCACGCAGGCGGUUUGUUAAGUCAGAUGUGAAAUCCCCGGGCUCAACCUGGGAACUGCAUCUGAUACUGGCAAGCUUGAGUCUCGUAGAGGGGGGUAGAAUUCCAGGUGUAGCGGUGAAAUGCGUAGAGAUCUGGAGGAAUACCGGUGGCGAAGGCGGCCCCCUGGACGAAGACUGACGCUCAGGUGCGAAAGCGUGGGGGAGCAAACAGGAUUAGAUACCCUGGUAGUCCACGCCGUAAACGAUGUCGACUU
This 770-nucleotide ribosomal RNA is filed under the name Shigella sp. SARITHAS-1. RNAcentral's name for it is "bacterial SSU rRNA". It matches the Rfam family "Bacterial small subunit ribosomal RNA", at positions 60 to 818 of the family's 1533-position model. The record is from RNAcentral. Lineage: Bacteria; Pseudomonadati; Pseudomonadota; Gammaproteobacteria; Enterobacterales; Enterobacteriaceae.